GAAUAGAACCCAGAGAACAAUGGGUUCCUAUCUCUGUUACGCUUUCUGUUACUCUCGUUUAAAUCUCGUUUGUCAGAAUAGGUGCCUUCGUCUGUCGUUUGGAGAGGACACAAACAGAAACGCAGUCAAAAGUUUCUUAAAAUGAAAGAAUUACAGAGUGCAGAGGAUAUAACGUUGGAUAAGGUUAUCAAAAAACAGAUAUGGGAGAAGGCUGCAUUGAAUAUAUGAAUUAUGGUCAGGCUGGAAAAAAUU
Molecule: long non-coding RNA, 252 nt
Organism: Lingula anatina
Lineage: Eukaryota; Metazoa; Brachiopoda; Lingulata; Lingulida; Lingulidae
Source: RefSeq, a predicted model, not a curated record